This 98-nucleotide ribosomal RNA is filed under the name Dasyspora echinata. RNAcentral's name for it is "partial 28S ribosomal RNA". It matches the Rfam family "Eukaryotic large subunit ribosomal RNA", at positions 1 to 97 of the family's 3401-position model. The record is from RNAcentral. Lineage: Eukaryota; Fungi; Basidiomycota; Pucciniomycetes; Pucciniales; Sphaerophragmiaceae.
AAGACCUCAAAUCAGGUGGAAUUACCUGCUGAACUUAAGCAUAUCAAUAAGCAGAGGAAAAGAAACUAACAAGGAUUCCCCUAGUAAUGGCGAAUGAA